AGGGGUGAUUAAAACAAUCUGUGGUAUGC
RNAcentral lists this non-coding RNA (29 nucleotides) under Homo sapiens (human). Lineage: Eukaryota; Metazoa; Chordata; Mammalia; Primates; Hominidae. The record is from RNAcentral.